Molecule: ribosomal RNA, 406 nt
Filed under: uncultured bacterium
Lineage: Bacteria
Description: partial 16S ribosomal RNA
Rfam family: Bacterial small subunit ribosomal RNA
Source: RNAcentral
AUUGAACGCUGGCGGCAGGCCUAACACAUGCAAGUCGACCGAGUGGCGGACGGGUGAGUAAUGUAUGGGAAAAAGACAGAUGGAGGGGGAUAACUAAUGGAAACGGUAGAUAAUACCGCAUACCCUCGGCUGAGCCCAGAUGGGAUUAGCUAGUAGGUGGGGUAAUGGCGCACCUAGGCGACGAUCCCUAACUGGUCUGAGAGGAUGACCAGCCACACUGGAACGGAGACACGGUCCAGACGCCUACGGUAGGCAGCAGUGGGGAAUAUUGCACAAUGGGCGCAAGCCUGAUGCAGCCAUGCCGCGUGUAUGAAGAAGGCCUUCGGGUUGUAAAGUACUUUCAGCGAGGAGGCGUUACUCGCAGAAGAAGCACCGGCGAACUCCGUGCCAGCAGCCGCGGUAAUAC